RNAcentral lists this transfer RNA (65 nucleotides) under Aphis fabae (black bean aphid). The record is from RNAcentral. Lineage: Eukaryota; Metazoa; Arthropoda; Insecta; Hemiptera; Aphididae. RNAcentral also lists the same sequence under 3 other names.
AAAUAAGAAGUAAUAUUAUUACAUAUUAAUUUCGACUUAAUAAUAGAUUAUUUAAUCCUUAUUUU